GGGGCCGACUUGGCUUCGACGGGAGAGCGUAGCGUUAGGUAGCAUGUCGGCGCGGAAACAGCCGUUAAACUUUCCAAAACAGAUAAACGCAAACAACGCGAAUUAUCGUCCCGCUUACGCUCUAGCGGCGUAAUGGACAGGCUCUUAAGUUUCGCCGCGCGAUUUAAGACGCCUUCAACAACUAGCGGCUUUGACGCGGGAAUUAGCGAUCUCGCGCCGAGAUUAGCUUGCGUUUUUUGAGGGGUUUGCCCGCUUGGCGCUUCAAAGGACAAAGACAAUCAACGGGAUCUAAGCAUGUAGAAGCCUAAGGUUUAGCUCUUUUGGACAGGGGUUCGAUCCCCCUCGGCUCCACCA
RNAcentral lists this transfer-messenger RNA (354 nucleotides) under Helicobacteraceae bacterium. It matches the Rfam family "transfer-messenger RNA". Rfam says of the family: Bacterial tmRNA, also known as 10Sa RNA or SsrA, is named for its dual tRNA and mRNA-like properties. Its role is to liberate the mRNA from a stalled ribosome. The record is from RNAcentral. Lineage: Bacteria; Pseudomonadati; Campylobacterota; Epsilonproteobacteria; Campylobacterales; Helicobacteraceae.